Molecule: ribosomal RNA, 253 nt
Filed under: uncultured bacterium
Lineage: Bacteria
Description: partial 16S ribosomal RNA
Rfam family: Bacterial small subunit ribosomal RNA
Source: RNAcentral
UACGUAGGGGGCAAGCGUUGUCCGGAUUUAUUGGGCGUAAAGAGCGUGUAGGCGGCCUGGAAGGUCAGCUGUGAAAACUCGAGGCUCAACCUCGAGACGUCGGUUGAAACCACCUGGCUAGAGUCCGGAAGAGGAGAGUGGAAUUCCCGGUGUAGCGGUGAAAUGCGCAGAUAUCGGGAAGAACACCCGUGGCGAAGGCGGCUCUCUGGACAGUUACUGACGCUGAGGAGCGAAAGCGUGGGGAGCGAACAGG